GUCUGCGUAACUCAGUGGUAGAGUGUGAGAUUGCAACGACGCAAACAAGCACAAAUAAGUGCAAGCAGGUCCAAACCACAAUCUUGAAGUCGCGUGUUCGAACCACGCCGCAGACU
Molecule: transfer RNA, 116 nt
Filed under: Lentinula raphanica
Lineage: Eukaryota; Fungi; Basidiomycota; Agaricomycetes; Agaricales; Omphalotaceae
Rfam family: tRNA
About the family: Transfer RNA (tRNA) molecules are approximately 80 nucleotides in length. Their secondary structure includes four short double-helical elements and three loops (D, anti-codon, and T loops). Further hydrogen bonds mediate the characteristic L-shaped molecular structure. tRNAs have two regions of fundamental functional importance: the anti-codon, which is responsible for specific mRNA codon recognition, and the 3' end, to which the tRNAs corresponding amino acid is attached (by aminoacyl-tRNA synthetases). tRNAs cope with the degeneracy of the genetic code in two manners: having more than one tRNA (with a specific anti-codon) for a particular amino acid; and 'wobble' base-pairing, i.e. permitting non-standard base-pairing at the 3rd anti-codon position.
Source: Rfam by way of RNAcentral